GAAAGCAUUGCACUGCAAACGCAAUAGAAACAGUUGCGGCUGGGCACGGGAAUAACGAUGGCUAGUCAGGGGCUCACGAUAGAGGAAUAGAAGGGACGAAGAGCUUCAAUCGGGAUCAAAAACAAAACGUGAGACUUAAAAAUAUUUUUCUGAAAACAUGUCAUCAUUUUUUCUCUAUACAAAUAUGAUCCAAAUUUUUGCGAAUUUCAUAAAUGUUUUUGAAGUUUGGCGAAUUUUGAACCUGAAGGUAGAAAUUCGCCGAAUGCGGUGACUUGGCCUAACAUCAUCAUCCUUCAACAAAUUGAAUCCAAUAUUCAUCGCCCAGUCAGCCAUACAAUUUCUAGUUCUUAUGAUGUAAGAGAGCUUAAUGCCUUUGGGUUCCUUGAUUGCCCAUUUAGCUUGAUUAAUAACUACUUCUAUUUUCCAAUUCUGCAUUGUUCCAUCCUUCAUUGCUUCAAUAAUCAGACUAGAGUCCCCUCCAAUCCACAAUUUCUUCCAGCCUUUCUCCCUUGCAAUCAUCAAUCCCUACAACUGAGCUCUAGCCUCAGCCAUAUUUUAGAGUCAUCCCUGAAAUCAAGAGCAAACAAACUGACAGAUUGACCAUUAGAGUCUCCAACCCCCCUCCCCCCACUGCCAACCUUACUUGGAUUAUUCUUUGCUGCACCAUCAAAAUUAAAAUUAAGCCAGUCAACCUUCAAGGGAAGCCACAAACACGGCUAGAGUGGAAAUGUUGCCCAGCAUCCCCUCAAACCUACUCAUUAUCUAUGAAAGUCCAAUUGCUGUCCUUAUGAAUAUCCCCAAUCUCACCAAUUGAACUUUCCACCAUAUCCCAAACUCUAUCAAUCGAUUUCCUAGAGUUUUGAAAAGCUCUCCUAUAUCUUUCUAACCACAACUUCCAAACAAUACUUGUCGGAGCCAAGUUCCAGAUGAGCUUCAAACUAGGGCUGCGAACAUUAGAGCCUCAACAAUCUAGCAAUGAAGGAAUAUUCUUGGGGAUUGCCCGAGAAUUCUUCCAUCUCGCAAGAAAACAUGUCCAAAGAUGCCACGCAAAACUUCAAUGAAUUCAAUGAAGGAAGAAAUGAGUGUUGUCUUCCUCAUCAAUCUCACACCUCACACAUCUUGAAGGCUCAGAUCUAUCAAAGGUCCUUAGUAUAUCCCAAGUGAGAGUCCUUCUCUUCCAGACAAUAUGGAGAAAAGCGUGCAUUUUGGAGACACCAUACUUGAACCAAACUACUAUCCACCCCAUCAAAAUUGCCAAUGUUGCAAAAAUAUUUGGAAAAAGCUUCUUUUGCCAUGACUUUGCCCUCACCGUUAUCCCCCCCAAACAACUCUAUCCUUCUCCUCACUCUCUACUGAACUCAAUCGUAGGGGCAACCAAAGCCUUAUAGCGUCUAUUAGGGGGAGAUCCACCAUGUAAUCCACCACCCUCACUCCCACAAUAUCCUCAAAAUGGGAAGGCACAGAGAACCCCACCAUCCAACCAAUGAUCCCUUCAAAAAUUGAUCUUUCUACAAUCACCCAAGCGCCACCUUACAUUAAGAAGAAAGAUACUACUACAAUGACUGAUGAAAUUCCAAAUAUUGGAGCCCCGAGGAAGAAGGAUAUCCUUCUCAAAUAGAUUAUCAAUGUUAUUUUGAAGAUAUUUGGCUCAAAUAACUUUACUCCACAAGUUAUCCCUCUCCUCAUACACUCUCCAGGCCAACUUGACACCAAGGACAAUAUUCAUCUCAUUACAAUUACGUCUCCCUAGUCCCCCAGCUUUAUCAGGCUUACAAAUCACAUCCCAUUUCACCAAAUCGUAUUGGCAGUUGUCCUCACAACCUAGCCAUAAAAAGCUUCUUUUUAUAACCUCAAUAGGCUUAGCCACCUUCUUGGAAUUUGAAAAGUAGACCUAGUGUAGGCCAAGACAACAAACAUAGAAGCUUUUAUGAGAGUAACCCUACCACCCAAAGAGAGCCAACGCCCCUUCUAGGAGUCAAGCAUACUAUGAUUUCUAUUUAGAACAUUACUUCAAUCACCAACCAUGGGCUUCUUGAAAGCCAAGGGCAUGCCUAAAUACUUACUAGGUAAGUGAUCAACCUCAAACCCCAAGAUCCACUUAAUAUCCAAACACUCAAGCCGCUGAUCCUUAAGGAAGAAGAUCCAAGACUUAAACCUUCUUCCUAGUUGCUUGAUCAUAUUUGACUAGCACAUUUGUGAAAACCCAAGCCUCCUUGGUUUUAGCCUCGCCAAAUAAUAAGGUAUCAUCAAUGAAUUGAAGAUGAGUGAUGUUGCUAGAGCCAUGUGAAAUUUGCAACCCUUUGAGAUUACCAAUCAUAACCUCUUUCUAUAUACUUCUUCUCAAAGCCUUGACAAGAAUGAGAAACAAAAAAGGUGACAAAGGGCCACCUUGACGAAGCUCCCUUUUGGCUUUGAAAAAAUUGGAGAGGGCACCAUUAAUGAGAACCGCAUAGGAGAUGGAGGAGAUAGAACUGAGAAUCCACUUGCACCAAGAAUGAUUGAAACCAAGUCUUCUUUUGAUCUUAAUGUUAAAAUCCCAAGGGACUUUGUCAUACACCUUAUUCAUAUCUAACUUGAUAGCCAUGCCUUCCUUCUUCCUACUUUGGAAGAUGGCCCUGCAUAACUGACACUCUUUAGCUGCAAGUCAACCAUCUUCACCAACAAGGUGCCAAUUAUUUUGAAAAACUCAAUCUGGAAGCCAUCUGGACCCGACGCCUUCCAAGCACCCAUAGAGAAAACAACUUUCCUAAUUUCCUCCUUGGAGAAGGGAGUGAGCAGAACAACAUUUUGUUCCUCAAAGAUAAUGCUAGUAAUGUUCAAAAGCUCCUCCUGGGCAGCGAUGUCUACCUUAGGCAAGGAAUCAAGCAAGGAAAGAAAUAUUUUUUUGCCAGCCAUACGAAUGACCUCCACAUCCUCAACAAUAUGCCCCUCAGGAGUCUGAAUCUUAAGGACUAUUUUUUUCCCUCCUGAUCUUGGUGGUAAUAUGGAAGAAGUUUGUAUUUUGAUCACCCUCUCUCAACCACUUAAACCUAGAUUUUGGUGCCAAAAAAUCUCCUCCAUGCGGAGCAGCCUAUUGAGAUCAUCCAUUAGCCCAAUCUCCUUAAUGUUUAGCUCAAAGGAAAAACCACUGGAAGCAAUAUCCUUUUCAAUCAAACGCAGGUUCAUUUCCACAUCUCCUUGUUUUUGAACAAAUCCCCAAAAGAGUGUUUAUUCCACACUCUCACCUGCCUGCUAACCUCUUUAAGUUUACUAAAAAGAAUGAACCUUUUGUAGCCCUUAAAAUCAAACAUCCACCACCCCUUCUAAAAUCGUAUCAAAAUAAGGGUAUUCAUACUAGAUUGCCUCCAUCUUGAAAGGGACGCCUCUAGGCUUGAAUGCCUUCUGCACUAAAAGGGAUAUAGGCCAACGAUCAGAGCCACCGUGUUGGAGAACCUCAAAGCAGAAACUAUCCGAGCUCAGAAACCAAUUUGAAUUGGUUAAGAACUUGUCAAGCUUGAUCUUGAUAUUGUCUUCUUCAAUAUGUUUGUUAGACCAAGUGAACCUUCCAUUCUUGGGUUUCAUAUCUGUGAGAUCCAGAUCCUUACAAAGAUUCUUGAAAGCCAAAGAGCCCUGAGAGGCAACAACUCUACCCCACAAUUUUUCCCUUGGGGUCAAAAUUACAUUGAAAUAUCCACCAACCAGCCAAUUCCUUGUCCCAUUGAUAUCUAUGAAGUUAGUCUAUGCUGAAUUUCUGGAUUAGAUUGUGUUUUGAUUUUUGCAUCAACGUUUUGAAUCACACUCCGUGAUCCAUCAUCAGGAUAGUAGAGAGAGCUAGGAGGCAAAAAAUCAUGGAGUGUGAUUUGAAACGUUGAUGCAAAAAUCAAAACACAAUCUAAUCCAGAAAUUCAGCAUAGACUAAUAUUAUAGAUUGUGGAAAUCUUAUAUCAUUAAUAUGUGAAGUUCUUGAGAUGAUCCCAAACCUCCAAUCUUUCCCCCAUCAAACUAGGGCCAUGGACAUUGGUAGUCAGCAAAGAAAUCAUUGCAUCUGAGAGCACCAAGCCGAGAUACAAAAAUGCUUAGCUUCAAUAACCAUCCCAGAAAUAGUGAGCUUGUUACAAGCGAUGGCAAGCCCCCAGUAGUGUUGGAGGCAUCACUAGCCAUCCCUUUCUCGUUCCUCCAGAAUCUUGGGACUAAUUCUAUCUUUCCAUCUUGGUCUCUUGCAAUAAAAGAAUAUCAAGGCACUCUAUUUCAAUUAGUCGCUUGAGAAGGUGGCACUUCUCCUAGACAUUAAGGCCCCGAACAUUCCAACUCAAGACCUUCAUGAUCUACUUGACUCAGGGGGUGCCCACCUCCAUUAGAUACAAACCGCCUCAUUGUGGCCUAUGUGUCAUUUCGUACUUCCUCCAAAGCUUCAAGCUUAGCCCUUGUAGCCUCUGCUUUUCUCCCACCUCCAUUAGAUACAAACCGCCUCAUUGUGGCCUAUGUGUCAUUUCGUACUUCCUCCAAAGCUUCAAGCUUAGCAUGAAUUAGUAUACUACUAUUGAUUCUAAAUUUCUUUGUCCUCCUGGGUGCCAUGGACCAUUCAUUCUCCUUGUUAGACUCCUCUGCUAAUAGGCUCAUAAGCUCUUUUUUUGCUUUUUGAGAUCAAAGCAUCAUCAAUCGAGCUAGAACAUCUAGCCCCAACUGCUUGGCGAUGAGUGUAGGUCUUCACCUCUUGAUUGUUGCCUCUUCCUUGUCUGUGUGUCCUCUAGCACCACCACACAACACCUCCAAAAAUUUGAGAGUAUCCAAAGCCUUUGUUUGAACAGACCCACCUGAGAGUUGAACCAGGGCAGAGCCACUUACCCUACCAGCUGCAGCACGACCCUCAGAUGGAAAAAUUGCACUGCAUUGCAUAUAAGAAAAGAGGAGCUGUUGGGGAGCUGUUUUAGAAGACAUGUUUGCUUGUUGGAAGCAUUGGAACUAUUUCAGAGGCUGGGAAGAGGCAAGUCAAGGGGGUGCUGGAGCUGUUAUAGAUCUGCACAUCAGUGUAGUGGUAUGGAGCCAUACAAGUGUAGUAAUUAACAAUUUUUGAUCUGCCAAACCUUUCCUUUGGUGUAACAUUAUAAAAAGAGACUAGUAAAGCAGUGUAAUCGUUAAUUAGAGGCACAAAAAAGUCAAGCACAACAAAGGAAGGCACAGCCUACAGCCAGGUGAAGUUUUGAUAAUCAUAUAGCUUAUUUAAUAAUUUGUAUAUCCAUUAUUCGGGCAACAUAGUUCAUUUAUAAUUUUAUAAAGUUUAUCUAGAACUUUAUACAAUUUUUUAAACUACCUAAUCAAGUUCGGGAGGUUUUUAACUCUGUAA
Molecule: long non-coding RNA, 5323 nt
Organism: Cryptomeria japonica (Japanese cedar)
Lineage: Eukaryota; Viridiplantae; Streptophyta; Pinopsida; Cupressales; Cupressaceae
Exons: 2
Source: RefSeq, a predicted model, not a curated record